GCAUAUCAAUAAGCGGAGGAAAAGAAACCAACAGGGAUUGCCUCAGUAACGGCGAGUGAAGCGGCAACAGCUCAAAUUUGAAAUCUGGCUCUUUCAGGGUCCGAGUUGUAAUUUGUAGAAGAUGCUUUGGGUGUGGCUCCGGUCUAAGUUCCUUGGAACAGGACGUCAUAGAGGGUGAGAAUCCCGUACGUGACUGGUUGCCUUCGCUCGUGUAAAGCUCUUUCGACGAGUCGAGUUGUUUGGGAAUGCAGCUCAAAAUGGGUGGUAAAUUUCAUCUAAAGCUAAAUAUUGGCCAGAGACCGAUAGCGCACAAGUAGAGUGAUCGAAAGAUGAAAAGCACUUUGGAAAGAGAGUUAAACAGUACGUGAAAUUGUUGAAAGGGAAGCGCUUGCAACCAGACUUGCAUGCUGUUGAUCAUCCAGGUUUCUACCUGGUGCACUCGGCAGUGUUCAGGCCAGCAUCGGUUUCGGUGGGCGGAUAAAGGCCUUGGGAAUGUAGCUUCUUUCGGGGAGUGUUAUAGCCCUCGGUGCAAUGCGCCCUACCGGGACCGAGGACCGCGCUUCGGCUAGGAUGCUGGCGUAAUGGUUGUAAGCGACCCGUCUUGAAACACGGACCAAGGAGUCUAACAUCUAUGCGAGUGUUUGGGUGUCAAACCCAUACGCGUAAUGAAAGUGAACGGAGGUGAGAACCCUUAAGGGUGCAUCAUCGACCGAUCCUGAUGUCUUCGGAUGGAUUUGAGUAAGAGCAUAGCUGUUGGGACCCGAAAGAUGGUGAACUAUGCCUGAAUAGGGUGAAGCCAGAGGAAACUCUGGUGGAGGCUCGCAGCGGUUCUGACGUGCAAAUCGAUCGUCAAAUUUGGGUAUAGGGGCGAAAGACUAAUCGAACCAUCUAGUAGCUGGUCCUGC
Molecule: ribosomal RNA, 905 nt
Filed under: Hyaloscypha japonensis
Lineage: Eukaryota; Fungi; Ascomycota; Leotiomycetes; Helotiales; Hyaloscyphaceae
Description: LSU rRNA
Rfam family: Eukaryotic large subunit ribosomal RNA
Source: RNAcentral